RNAcentral lists this ribosomal RNA (339 nucleotides) under Triticum aestivum (bread wheat). Its description in RNAcentral is "partial small subunit ribosomal RNA". The record is from RNAcentral. Lineage: Eukaryota; Viridiplantae; Streptophyta; Magnoliopsida; Poales; Poaceae.
AUGGCGUCGUUGAAGAAUCGGGGGAGGCCGGACAAGGGCGGUUGGCGUUCGGUGCCCGCGGUGGCCAGAUGGGUGGCUCCGCCGCUCUCGUGCAACCCGUCCUCCACCGUGCUUACUUCCUCCACGACCACCUCGGGGCCUCCAUCAAUCACCUGCGCUUCCUCGCAGGAAGCUGAUUACAGGGAAUGGGGGCAUGUCGUGCAAGAAAUCACGAGGUUUCUAAAGGCUGACUCGCUUUUCAUGAACCUGAGACCUCUCAGGAGCUUUUGUUGUGCUGAGUGUACGAGACAAGCAGCGGCUCUGUGCAUAUGCGCUCGUCCGUGUUAUGUGCUCCCGUAG